CCUAAGUGGGUGGUAAACUCCAUCUAAGGCUAAAUACAACCACGAGACCGAUAGCACACAAGUACCGUGAGGGAAAGGUGAAAAGAACUUUGAAGAGAGAGUUCAAGAGUACGUGAAACUGAGGUGGUGUAAACGGACGAGAUCGAAAAGUCCGAAUGGGGAGAUUCAGGCCUAUCCGCGGCGGUGGCCGACGGGUUCAGACGGUGCGGUCGGCGGAGGGCCCUCGGGCCGCUCYGUUUUUUCCGUAUUCGCUCGUCCCGGCGGUAUCUGUCUGUCGCGGUGGGCUGCACUUCUCCCCUAGUAGGACGUCGCGACCCGUUGGGAGGUUCCGAUCUGUGGCCCUCGGUGGAGCCCGCGCCGGGGCGGUGGCUUUCGGGCCGCCGUUGCCGUGCACGGACCCGGGGUGACCUGAUCGGCGCUCGACGGUAUCAAAGCUUGGGAAGGGACCGCACAGAGGUUGCGUCCGAUGCCUGAUUUCAUCGGGCUACACUCGGACAGGUUCGUACCCGGUCUGCGGCGCUACUGCUUUCGAUACUCGUCCGA
RNAcentral lists this ribosomal RNA (543 nucleotides) under Scirtothrips kenyensis. Its description in RNAcentral is "eukaryotic LSU rRNA". It matches the Rfam family "Eukaryotic large subunit ribosomal RNA", at positions 287 to 647 of the family's 3401-position model. The record is from RNAcentral. Lineage: Eukaryota; Metazoa; Arthropoda; Insecta; Thysanoptera; Thripidae.